AUUGAACGCUGGCGGCAUGCUUUACACAUGCAAGUCGAACGGUAGGGUAGCAAUACCUGAGAGUGGCGAACGGGUGAGUAAUGCAUCGGAACAUGCCUAUUUGUGGGGGAUAGCCCGGCGAAAGCCGGAUUAAUACCGCAUACGAUCUACGGAUGAAAGCUGGGGACCGCACGGCCUAGCGCAAAUAGAGUGGCCGAUGUCAGAUUAGCUUGUUGGUGGGGUAAAGGCUCACCAAGGCAACGAUCUGUAGCUGGUUUGAGAGAACGACCAGCCACACUGGGACUGAGACACGGCCCAGACUCCUACGGGAGGCAGCAGUGGGGAAUUUUGGACAAUGGGCGCAAGCCUGAUCCAGCAAUGCCGCGUGCAGGAUGAAGGCCUUCGGGUUGUAAACUGCUUUUGUACGGAACGAAACGGCUCUGGUUAAUACCCGGGGCUAAUGACGGUACCGUAAGAAUAAGCACCGGCUAACUACGUGCCAGCAGCCGCUGUAA
RNAcentral lists this ribosomal RNA (494 nucleotides) under uncultured bacterium. RNAcentral's name for it is "partial 16S ribosomal RNA". It matches the Rfam family "Bacterial small subunit ribosomal RNA", at positions 30 to 523 of the family's 1533-position model. The record is from RNAcentral.